UCAUUCUACAAAGCCACUAUGGUGAAUGAGAAAAGCAGUCAUCAAAUAGAACAACUAAUUCUGAUAUGCUGACUAGCACUCUGUGAAGGACAGACUGGACAAUAAAUCAAUGGAAUUGAGUGCUUUUUGUCCUAAGCCCACAAAUUCAUUUACAAAUUCCAACUUCAUAUUUCAUGUCUGAUAAACAAUUCCUUAUGCAUUGAGGAAAAUGUAUCUGUGAGUGUUCACAGGGGGAGAGGUGUGAAAUUCAAUUUUUGAGAGUUUACCAUUGAAGAAAACUUUACAUAUGUCAUAACAAUUAAUUUCACACUAACUGUACAAGGCUUUAAUAUCACCUCCACUUUACAGAAAAUGAUUCUGAUGUUCAGGGGAGUUAAAUACACAUUCCAGGACCCAGAGGUGAUAAGUGGCAGAUCAGAUUCCAGAAUCUGCACCCUUUUUCUUACAGGUGUUUUCAGGACUAUUCCCUUGGCUUUUAGAAUGUAUGAUUUUCAAUGCGACUAUCUGCUCUUCCUAGACAGAAAAUUCUACAGGAGAAAAAGGGAAAAGAUGCCACAGGGGGUGAUGUUGCAUAGUCCACAGGGAGAGCUUUAACUUUUUAGAUCGUAAACACAGGUGGGUUUCAAAAGUGUUGAGAAUACCUAGUAUGUAAAGAAACAAAUUUUAAACAAAAUUAG
This 677-nucleotide long non-coding RNA is filed under the name Macaca mulatta (Rhesus monkey). RNAcentral describes it as "lncRNA (ENSMMUG00000049844.1)". The record is from RNAcentral. Lineage: Eukaryota; Metazoa; Chordata; Mammalia; Primates; Cercopithecidae.